RNAcentral lists this long non-coding RNA (304 nucleotides) under Gossypium raimondii (Peruvian cotton). RNAcentral's name for it is "long non-coding RNA (GRAI_LNC008396)". The record is from RNAcentral. Lineage: Eukaryota; Viridiplantae; Streptophyta; Magnoliopsida; Malvales; Malvaceae.
AGCUCAUCACUUUUAUCAUGCUUUACCUCUGCUCAGUCUGCUUGUGAUGGCUGGAACAUUACAAAUCGCCUUUUUGCUGCGUCAACCAGUGUGAAAAUCUCUCGCAUCAAACAUGAUCUUCAUUCCCUAAAAAAGGGUGAGUUAAUUGUGACAGAAUAUAUUUCAAGAAUAGAGAAUACCUGUGCUUUACUUGUAGACUUGGAUCGGUGAUAUCAGAUGCUGAAAAGGUGGAAGUUUUUUUGGCUGGGUUCCCAUCAGAUUUUGAUGUCCUACUAACAUUGGCUUCUUUCUCACCAGAGCCCCU